AGAGUUUGAUCAUGGCUCAGGACGAACGCUGGCGGCGUGCCUAACACAUGCAAGUCGAACGGAGUUGUUUUGAAUGAAAUUUUCGGAUGGAUUUUAAAAUAACUUAGUGGCGGACGGGUGAGUAACGCGUGAGUAACCUGCCGAUAAGAGGGGGAUAACGUCUUGAAAAGGACGCUAAUACCGCAUGACGUAUUGAAGCCGCAUGACUUUAAUACCAAAGGAGCAAUCCGCUUAUCGAUGGACUCGCGUCCGAUUAGCUAGUUGGCGGGGUAAUAGCCCACCAAGGCGACGAUCGGUAGCCGGACUGAGAGGUUGAACGGCCACAUUGGGACUGAGACACGGCCCAGACUCCUACGGGAGGCAGCAGUGGGGGAUAUUGCGCAAUGGGGGGAACCCUGACGCAGCAACGCCGCGUGAAGGAUCGAAGGUCUUCGGAUUGUAAACUUCUUUUGUUAAGGACGAAGAAAGUGACGGUACUUAACGAAUAAGCUCCGGCUAACUACGUGCCAGCAGCCGCGGUAAUACGUAGGGAGCGAGCGUUGUCCGGAUUUACUGGGUGUAAAGGGUGCGUAGGCGGCUAUGCAAGUCAGAUGUGAAAUGUAUGGGCUCAACCCAUGAACUGCAUUUGAAACUGCGUAGCUUGAGUGAAGUAGAGGUAGGCGGAAUUCCCUGUGUAGCGGUGAAAUGCGUAGAGAUAGGGAGGAACACCAGUGGCGAAGGCGGCCUUACUGGGCUUUAACUGACGCUCAGGCACGAAAGCGUGGGUAGCAAACAGGAUUAGAUACCCUGGUAGUCCACGCCGUAAACGAUGAUUACUAGGUGUGGGGGGUCUGACCCCCUCCGUGCCGCAGUCAACACAAUAAGUAAUCCACCUGGGGAGUACGGCCGCAAGGUUGAAACUCAAAGGAAUUGACGGGGGCCCGCACAAGCAGUGGAGUAUGUGGUUUAAUUCGAAGCAACGCGAAGAACCUUACCAGGUCUUGACAUCCCGAUGACCGCUCUAGAGAUAGAGUUUUUCUUCGGAACAUUGGAGACAGGUGGUGCAUGGUUGUCGUCAGCUCGUGUCGUGAGAUGUUGGGUUAAGUCCCGCAACGAGCGCAACCCUUGCUAUUAGUUGCUACGCAAGAGCACUCUAAUAGGACUGCCGUUGACAAAACGGAGGAAGGUGGGGACGACGUCAAAUCAUCAUGCCCCUUAUGACCUGGGCUACACACGUACUACAAUGGCUGUAUAACAGAGGGAAGCAAAACUGCGAAGCGGAGCAAAUCCCCAAAAACAGUCCCAGUUCAGAUUGUAGGCUGCAACUCGCCUACAUGAAGAUGGAGUUGCUAGUAAUCGCAGAUCAGAAUGCUGCGGUGAAUACGUUCCCGGGCCUUGUACACACCGCCCGUCACACCAUGGGAGCCGGUAAUACCCGAAGUCAGUAGCCCAACCGCAAGGAGGACGCUGCCGAAGGUAGGAUUGGCGACUGGGGUGAAGUCGUAACAAGGUAGCCGUA
This 1498-nucleotide ribosomal RNA is filed under the name uncultured rumen bacterium. Its description in RNAcentral is "bacterial SSU rRNA". It matches the Rfam family "Bacterial small subunit ribosomal RNA". The record is from RNAcentral.